CGAGAGUCCGUCUUUUUAAGAAAAGGCAAGAUAAUGAAUAAGCAAAAUAAUUAAAAGAUGUUUAAAAAUACAAAAAGUGUAUUUCCUAAGUCCGAACAAUUUUUAUUUUAUGCAUAUGAAUAUUUUGCCUGCAUGUAGCUCUGUGUGCCAUGGAGCCUAUGGCGGCCAUACAAGGGUGUCCGACCACCUAGCACUGGCAGUACAGACAGGUGUGAGUUGUGUGAAGUGCUCCGCCAUGGCCAGUGAGGUCCUACAUCUUUUUCUUUAUUUUUGGAGCUGGGGACCGAACCCAGGGCCUUGCGCAUGAGGUCCUACAUCUUAACACUGUGUCCUAGUUACCUGUUCAGGCUGGAAGUGUCCCUCAGACUGCUUUAUAUGGUGACUGCUCUGGCCUUUUCUCUCCUAAGGGGAAUGCCUGGGUGGCGCUCUGUACUGGAAGGACCUCGCCGUCAUUGCCAAAAAGAUUGGGUUCUGCCCUCCACGUUUGGUCACUGCCAAUAUUAUUACGGUUGGAAACAAGGAACUAGAAAGGGUUCUUGGUAAGAAACCACAGCAGAGGUGCUGUGACCGCAGUGUGCAUGGUUUCAACUGGGGGAUUAGCUUCUCCGAGAGUCUCAUCCAGGGAAACUGUUCAUCUCCCGGUGUCCACCUUGUCUCCUGAAUAAUUCCAGCCCCUUCCCCAGGGUGGCAUUGAAUAAAGUAUCUGGAAGCCAAUCAGGAAAUGGACUGCAGUGCCCAGAGAGAUAAUGAAUGGCUCACAGUCCGCUCUGUCUUCCUCUGUCGAGUGCUGCUGGGUGCUGCAAGGGAGCCCUGUGUGUGUCUGCUUCCAGGUGACUGUCGCUUCGUGUCUGCCACAUUUCGCCUCUUCAAACUCCCUAAGACAGAGCCAGCCGGAAGAUGCCAAGUUGUUUACAAUGGAGGAAUCAUGGGGCACGAAAAGGAACUAAUUUUCGAUGCAAAUUUUACAUUCAAGGUAAAAAAAAAAAAAAAAAA
This 993-nucleotide long non-coding RNA is filed under the name Rattus norvegicus (Norway rat). RNAcentral's name for it is "long non-coding RNA NONRATT001826". Lineage: Eukaryota; Metazoa; Chordata; Mammalia; Rodentia; Muridae. The record is from RNAcentral.